GACAGAAAGUGCAUGCGUUAUUCGGAUUGACUGGGCGUUAAGGGUAUGUAGGCGGCUAAAUUUGUAACUAGGUUGGAAAAGCUCAGGUAGCAUCUGAGAAGUCUUCCUAAAGAUUAUUAAGCUAGAGUUUGUGCUAAGUUGGGAGAAUUAGUGAAGUAACGGAGUUAAAUCCUGCGAUAUUACUAGGAAGGCCAAAGGCGGAAGCACCUCUCUCGCCCAAACUGACGCUGAGGUACGAAAGGUUGGGGAUCAAAGCGG
This 258-nucleotide ribosomal RNA is filed under the name uncultured bacterium. RNAcentral describes it as "partial 16S ribosomal RNA". It matches the Rfam family "Bacterial small subunit ribosomal RNA", at positions 524 to 776 of the family's 1533-position model. The record is from RNAcentral.